GGGCCCGCGGGUCUGGGGCGAGCUCGGGGCGCCGCGCCCCUGCGGCCGUCAGCGGGGUCUGAAGGGUAAAGCGGGGUGGGAGGCCUGCGCGCGGUCCCCCCGGAAAGUUACCGGCCGGGGGAUCCCGAGCCGGGGAAGCCGCCGGGAUGCUGCUUUCCGAGAGGGAGCCGGCGAGGAGGUUCCGCGUAGCUGUGUGUAGGGAGAAACAGAUUCUGGCAUCCUUUAGUCUGAACUCUCAACUCUUAUUGUAAGAAUAAGGACAUCUGGACUAAUAGCUUGUGAGCAGGGAUUUGAAUUUGGGUUUCCCAAACCCCAGGGAAUGCUGUAGUCACAAGACCACUUUGAUCCCCAGAGGAAAG
Long non-coding RNA from Lagopus muta (rock ptarmigan), 359 nucleotides. RefSeq lists it as uncharacterized. The record is from RefSeq and is a predicted model, not a curated record. NCBI's taxonomy places the organism in Eukaryota, Metazoa, Chordata, Aves, Galliformes, Phasianidae. The transcript is spliced from 4 exons.